UUGCGUGCUGUAACUGUA
RNAcentral lists this transfer RNA (18 nucleotides) under Cavanillesia platanifolia. Its description in RNAcentral is "partial tRNA-Ser". The record is from RNAcentral. Lineage: Eukaryota; Viridiplantae; Streptophyta; Magnoliopsida; Malvales; Malvaceae.